GAAUUUAAGAAAAGUUCGGCAGAGUUUCCCCUUGAAAAAGGGCUAAACUCCCUGCCAAAAUGUACCCAAAAUUAAACAAAUAAACUUCCUAACAAUUGUCAAAUCCAAUUCCCACACUCAGAAAGGAUAUUAGCAGUAAAGAAAUCAUUUCAUGCAUAUUAAGUGCAAACAAUUUUAAAUUAUAUCCAUUUGCAAGAAUGAACACUCAAACACUUGAGAAUAUCUCCAAUCCAAUUCAUAACACUCGUUAACACUUAAGUUAACGACAUAUGAGUCCCAAUUAAUCCAAAUACUAAUUAUUUCAAGUAAAAGUGGUUCAAUGUGCUUAACUUGAUCGGGAACACACACUUUUACCCAAUGGGCUAUUGCUCUAGCAUAUCAUUUUCAAUUGGUAUAACAGUGAUUUAUACCUCUCUGAACAAGUUCAUAUAUUCACAGAAAGCAAAAUUCACAAGUUUAAACCACUAACAUGCUCAAGCCCAAAAAUUGAGAAGGAAAUCUCAAAACUAUCACCAAAUCCAUAAUUCUCACACAAAUAAGCAU
Molecule: long non-coding RNA, 543 nt
Filed under: Coffea arabica (coffee)
Lineage: Eukaryota; Viridiplantae; Streptophyta; Magnoliopsida; Gentianales; Rubiaceae
Description: long non-coding RNA (CARA_LNC003803)
Source: RNAcentral